This 497-nucleotide ribosomal RNA is filed under the name uncultured bacterium. RNAcentral's name for it is "partial 16S ribosomal RNA". It matches the Rfam family "Bacterial small subunit ribosomal RNA", at positions 28 to 507 of the family's 1533-position model. The record is from RNAcentral.
GAUGAACGCUGGCGGCGUGCCUAAUACAUGCAAGUCGAGCGAACAGACGAGGAGCUUGCUCCUCUGACGUUAGCGGCGGACGGGUGAGUAACACGUGGAUAACCUACCUAUAAGACUGGGAUAACUUCGGGAAACCGGAGCUAAUACCGGAUAAUAUAUUGAACCGCAUGGUUCAAUAGUGAAAGACGGUUUUGCUGUCACUUAUAGAUGGAUCCGCGCCGCAUUAGCUAGUUGGUAAGGUAACGGCUUACCAAGGCAACGAUGCGUAGCCGACCUGAGAGGGUGAUCGGCCACACUAGAACUGAGACACGGUCCAGACUCCUACGGGAGGCAGCAGUAGGGAAUCUUCCGCAAUGGGCGAAAGCUUGACGGAGCAACGCCGCGUGAGUGAUGAAGGUCUUCGGAUCGUAAAACUCUGUUAUUAGGGAAGAACAAAUGUGUAAGUAACUAUGCACGUCUUGACGGUACCUAAUCAGAAAGCAACGGCUAACUACGUG